CCUUGGCCGAGAGGCCUGGGCAAUCUUUUGAACUUGCAUCGUGAUAGGGAUAGAUUAUUGCAAUUAUUAAUCUUGAACGAGGAAUUCCUAGUAAACGCAGAUCAUCAAUCUGCAUUGAUUACGUCCCUGCCCUUAGUACACACCGCCCGUCGCACCUACCGAUUGAAUGGUCCGGUGAAGCCUCGGGAUUGUGGUUAGUUCCUUUAUUGGAAGUUAGUCGCGAGAACUUGUC
This 232-nucleotide ribosomal RNA is filed under the name Fragilariopsis kerguelensis. Its description in RNAcentral is "partial small subunit ribosomal RNA". It matches the Rfam family "Eukaryotic small subunit ribosomal RNA", at positions 1527 to 1759 of the family's 1831-position model. The record is from RNAcentral. Lineage: Eukaryota; Bacillariophyta; Bacillariophyceae; Bacillariales; Bacillariaceae.